Molecule: non-coding RNA, 28 nt
Filed under: Homo sapiens (human)
Lineage: Eukaryota; Metazoa; Chordata; Mammalia; Primates; Hominidae
Source: RNAcentral
UNGCCUAAGACAAUGGAGCCAUAGAGCC